This 410-nucleotide ribosomal RNA is filed under the name uncultured bacterium. RNAcentral describes it as "bacterial SSU rRNA". It matches the Rfam family "Bacterial small subunit ribosomal RNA", at positions 370 to 772 of the family's 1533-position model. The record is from RNAcentral.
AAUGGGGGCAACCCUGAUCCAGCCAUGCCGCGUGCGGGAAGAAGGCCUUUGGGUUGUAAACCGCUUUUAGCCGGGAAGAAAAGGCGAGGGAUAACACCCUUCGUUCUUGACGGUACCGGCGGGAUAAGCACCGGCUAACUACGUGCCAGCAGCCGCGGUAAUACGUAGGGUGCGAGCGUUAAUCGGAAUUACUGGGCGUAAAGCGUGCGCAGGCGGUUCGUUAAGUCUGAUGUGAAAGCCCCGGGCUCAACCUGGGAAUGGCAUUGGAUACUGGCGGGCUUGAGUGUGGCAGAGGGGGGUGGAAUUCCGCGUGUAGCAGUGAAAUGCGUAGAGAUGCGGAGGAACACCGAUGGCGAAGGCAGCCCCCUGGGCUGACACUGACGCUCAGGCACGAAAGCGUGGGGAGCAAA